Daphnia pulicaria is the source of this 1101-nucleotide long non-coding RNA. RefSeq lists it as uncharacterized. Lineage: Eukaryota; Metazoa; Arthropoda; Branchiopoda; Diplostraca; Daphniidae. The transcript has 6 exons. The record is from RefSeq and is a predicted model, not a curated record.
UAGAGAAAUUGGAUGCAGGUAUGUCCCGAUCAUUCUCAGCAAAACCUGUUUGCUGAUCCACAUCACUAGCUUCUUCAUCACCCGUUCCAUCAUCAUCUUCUCUGUUGUACUUUUGAGAUUUUACCCGGUGACAAUGAUGGUUUGGGAUGAUUAGAUUUCAGGCCAGCUUUUGACACGGAUUUGGCUGAAGAAUUGACUGCAGAUUUGGCUGAAGAAUUGACUGCAGAUUUGGCUGAAGAAUUGACUGCAGAUUUGGCUGAAGAAUUGACUGCGGCUUUGACGGUGUUCCAUGAUGGUAAUUAUUCGAAACACCUGGCAAUGGAGAAACUGAUCUUCUUCUGUGAGAAGUGGCCCUGCCACUUGGAUUUGGUGGACGUUGACAGGCUUGAUCUUCUGCUGGUUUAGGUGUUCCAUGAUGGUAAUUAUUCGAAACACCUGGCAAUGGAGAAACUGAUCUUCUUCUGUGAGAAGUGGCCCUGCCACUUGGAUUUGGUGGACGUUGACAGGCUUGAGCCUCACCAACGACUGGCCCGGAACUGCAAUUUUCAAAAUUAAUGGGCCUUCCCCUUCCACGGCCGAUCCCCACGUGAUUGCCGGGCUGUGAUCUUGUUUGCCGGGCAUCUCUUUUCAUAAGAUCUGUUGGUGUUCUUCGGGAGAUGGAUUGUUUGGAAUAUUCCUACGCUUUGGUUCAGAUUCCAGUGAAUACCUACUGGCUGGUUUCCUGCUGCGCUUUUCCACUUGGUUUCCACUCGGCAUGUUGGAAGUAUUGAUUUAUGUAACUAAAAAGCAACUGAAGUCUGAAGAGCAUAUGAUGGAAACUAAGGGGGUUUGAGUUGAGGGAGUAGUAUGUAGUAUCAGGAGUUCUUGAAUACGUCAGGACAAACUGCUUUGGCGCAUACAGGCCAAUUAUUAGAUCAGCAGUUUUACUCAACUAAAGAUACAAAAGUUGACGGAACGUGAGGCUGGUUUCUGAUCAGUUGAUAGCCAGGAGAGAGACCGCAUUGACUCGAAGAACGCACUGGAAGAGUUUGUUCUAAACAUUCGCGGCCGCGUCAACGAUUCUGACGACUUGGAAUGUUAUAUUGAGUCAAAUGUUCGAGA